GGAUGUGAGGGCGAUCUGGCUGCGACAUCUGUCACCCCAUUGAUCGCCAGGGUUGAUUCGGCUGAUCUGGCUGGCUAGGCGAGUGUCCCCUUCCUCCCUCACCGCUCCAUGUGAGUCCCUCCCAAAGCUGCACGCUCGGUCGAAGAGGACUACCAUCCCUGAUAGAGGAGGACCGUUCUUCGGUCAAAGGUAUACCAGUAGCUGCGCUCCCCUGCUAGAACCUCCAACCAAGCUCUCAAAAGCAGCUCCACAGUGAACAUGGGGGGAAUACUCAUUAUAAAGUUAGUUUUACAGUCCCCCCUUCAAGAAGAAGAAUAUAG
This 320-nucleotide small nuclear RNA is filed under the name Castor canadensis (American beaver). RNAcentral describes it as "7SK RNA (ENSCCNG00000002132.1)". It matches the Rfam family "7SK RNA". Rfam says of the family: 7SK was discovered as an abundant small nuclear RNA in the mid-70s but a possible function has only recently been suggested. Two independent studies have found that 7SK RNA binds the CDK9/cyclin T complex (known as elongation factor P-TEFb). Lineage: Eukaryota; Metazoa; Chordata; Mammalia; Rodentia; Castoridae. The record is from Rfam by way of RNAcentral.